GUGGGGAAUCUUGCGCAAUGGGCGAAAGCCUGACGCAGCCAUGCCGCGUGAAUGAUGAAGGUCUUAGGAUUGUAAAAUUCUUUCACCGGGGGCGAUAAUGACGGUACCCGGAGAAGAAGCUCCGGCUAACUCCGUGCCAGCAGCCGCGGUAAUACGAAGGGGGCUAGCGUUGUUCGGAAUCACUGGGCGUAAAGCGCACGUAGGCGGACCAUUAAGUCAGGGGUGAAAGCCUGGAGCUCAACUCCAGAACUGCCUUUGAUACUGAUGGUCUCGAGUAUGGAAGAGGUGGGUGGAACUGCGAGUGUAGAGGUGAAAUUCGUAGAUAUUCGCAAGAACACCGGUGGCGAAGGCGGCCAACUGGUCCAUUACUGACGCUGAGGUGCGAAAGCGUGGGGAGCAAACAGGAUUAGAAACCCGGGUAGUCC
Molecule: ribosomal RNA, 425 nt
Filed under: uncultured bacterium
Lineage: Bacteria
Description: bacterial SSU rRNA
Rfam family: Bacterial small subunit ribosomal RNA
Source: RNAcentral